Molecule: ribosomal RNA, 292 nt
Filed under: uncultured bacterium
Lineage: Bacteria
Description: partial 16S ribosomal RNA
Rfam family: Bacterial small subunit ribosomal RNA
Source: RNAcentral
GUGUCAGCAGCCGCGGUAAUACAGAGGUGGCAAACGUUGUCCGGAUUUAUUGGGUGUAAAGGGCAUGUAGGUGGUUCUAUAAGUCAAAGGUGAAAUGGCCCGGCUCAACCAGGUCAUUGCCUUUGAAACUGCAGAACUUGAGUACGGAAGAGGAAAGCGGAAUUCCCAGUGUAGCGGUGAAAUGCGUAGAUAUUGGGAGGAACACCGGUGGCGAAGGCGGCUUUCUGGUCCGAAACUGACACUGAGAUGCGAAAGCCAGGGGAGCAAACGGGAUUAGAUACCCCGGUAGUCC